AGUUCAGGCUGGGCAGUUGCUCCGAUUAUAUCGGGGAGGAAAGUCCGAACUUCGCAGAACAGGGCGCCGGGUAACACCCGGGAUGCCGGUUUAUCUUUGAAUAGGUAAACGAGCAUACGGAAAGUGCCACAGAAAAUAUACCGUCCUGAUUUUUUCAGGAUAAGGGUGAAAUGGCAGGGUAAGAGCCUACCGCGGAAAUGGUAACAUUUCCGGUCCCUAUGGGAUUCUGGUUAAUGUAACUUUUGGUUACUUAACCGGAACAAGGAAAACCACACCCGAAGCAAGGUCAAGUAUGGGAAUCUUCCCGGUUUACCGGGACAAAGUUGUUCGCUUUGAUUAACUGCUUUUUGCAGAAUGGAUUUCCGGGUGGACCGCUAAAGCCCGGCAGUAAUGCCGGGACGAGACAAAUAACUGCCGUCCUGAUUUAUAUCGGGAUUACAAAAUUCGGCUUAUAAGCCUAAACUAUUU
Molecule: RNase P RNA, 468 nt
Filed under: Ignavibacteriaceae bacterium
Lineage: Bacteria; Pseudomonadati; Ignavibacteriota; Ignavibacteria; Ignavibacteriales; Ignavibacteriaceae
Description: RNase P RNA component class A
Rfam family: Bacterial RNase P class A
About the family: Ribonuclease P (RNase P) is a ubiquitous endoribonuclease, found in archaea, bacteria and eukarya as well as chloroplasts and mitochondria. Its best characterised activity is the generation of mature 5'-ends of tRNAs by cleaving the 5'-leader elements of precursor-tRNAs.
Source: RNAcentral